Molecule: long non-coding RNA, 1733 nt
Organism: Salmo salar (Atlantic salmon)
Lineage: Eukaryota; Metazoa; Chordata; Actinopteri; Salmoniformes; Salmonidae
Source: RefSeq, a predicted model, not a curated record
UAUAUAAGUUUCGUUCAAAUCAAAAAGGGGUGUUGUCAAAAUGUGAUUGAAAUCAAAUAGAACAACCUUUGAGACACGGACAGUCUAAGACCAUCGACAAGCAGUGUGUAGUUUCCAGAGGUCAGCCUUUGGAGAUCCUUCUGGGCCUUAGUGACUUGACUUUUACUGCUUAAUUAUAGGCUGACUUACUGCUUAAUUAUAGGCUGACUGCCUUCCAAUCUUCAUAAUUAAAUGCACUUGGCUUCACAUCAAAAGAAAGUCCCUCUGUUUCCUUUGAAGGGCCAUUGAACGUAGACCACAUAAACAUUUCAUAGCCAAAAGAUAAGCAUGGAAAUCUGAGCCAAUGCCAUUACCAUCGCUUCCGAUAUACACCUUUAAAACAGAAAUCUGAAGGUUGUGGGUGACCCUGUUCCGCCCCACUUCUUGUGUCGUGUUUUCACUUUGAACAAAACAAGGGGGUUGAGUUCUGAGCCUCCUUGGGCUGGCCUUCUGGGCUAGGUGUGUCUUUGCGCUAAUCCCGCCUACUCAAAUGACCCUGCUGCCCCAGAGCUGGAGAGGAAAUGAAAGUCAUUAGCAACCUAACGCUUCAGCCGCCAGAAACAAAGAGCAGACGAAGCCAACAAGCAUCAUUCUCUGUUCUUGGAUCAGAAUCAACUUGAUCCCAAAGGGGAAAAAGAAGCGAGAGACUGCUCAUGACGAAUCCAUAAACCGGGUAAACUUUAACAAGUGGAAGAGUGACCGACAUGGCUCCCAUUCUCAUGGACUGGUAACAUUAGGGAGAUACUGGUGAACAUGGUCUGAUUUCAAGGGAACCUGAGACUACAAGUUGUGGUUGUGAAAACUCCAACACUGAAAGAGUCAACACAGCAUUGAUGGUGAUUCACAAUCCUGGAGAGCAUUGAAGUGGUUGAAUUCAUAAAUGGAUAGUUUGGACCUGUUGGAUGGAAGAAACCAAGUCAACCAUAGAUGAUGACGAACAUCCUAACCCUUCAGCUACACUACAUGCAUCACCAUCAAAAGUAUCCAUGCGACGUUCUAUCUGGUACACCAGAAACCAACCAAAUCAACUUAGUCUCAUUAUUUCAAUUCACAAGAUAGAAUGCACGUCAGCCAUUGAAAAUGUAACCUCUGUAGUAGGCCCGUUAGGAUGCAUUGCGGUCUUACCGGCUCUGAUGACCUAGUAGGUGUUGAAAGGUGGGAACCAGGAGCAGCACAUAGCUUUGUGGUCUGGAGGUGUGGGACCUGGCAAAAGGGUUUUAAUUCCAAACUGCUGUGUGUGUGGUUGGCACUGGCCUCACGAGAGGCUGUGGCACCAUGUAGGCUUUGUACCUGGGAGCUGAUAGAUGGUGUAUUCAGACUCCUUGACUUUUUCCACAUUUUGUUACGUUACAGCCUUAUUAUAAAAUUGAUUAAAUCGUUUUUUUCCCCCCCUCGUCAGUCUACACACACUACCCCAUAAUGACAAAUCAAACACAGGUUUUUAGAAAUGUUUGCAAAUACAUAAGUAUUCAGACCCUUUACUCAUUACUUUGUUGAAGCACAUUUGGUAGAGAUUCCAGCCUUGAGGCUUUGGUAUGAUGCUACAAGCUUGGCAUACCUGUAUUUGGAGAGUAUCUCGCAUUCUUCUCUGCAGAUCCUUUCAAGGUCUGUCAGGUUGGAUGGGGAGUGUUGCGGCCCAGCUAUUUUCAGGUCUCUCCAGAGAUGUUCGAUCGGGUUCAAGUCUGGGCUCUGGC